CCUAAAAAUAUUUCCCUACCUCUUCUCCUUAGAUUUUCCACAAAAUUUUCACCUCCCGUGCCCUAGAGCGCCCGGUCGGAUCUCGCCGGAGUUCGCUGCAGUAGGAGCGCCCCGCUGGUUGAUUCCGUCGCGUAUCUAGGUUCCCAGCAUCCAUUUCCCUUAUGGUUUGAUUCGCCUUGGUCUCCCCUCUCUCCCUCAUCUCUUAUUCUGCACAGGGAGAUACCACAUCGAGCCCUUGGACCUCCGCCCGAAGCUUAAUGGAUGAAGAUCCGCUCCAGCCGGUCAUUGUCACCACAGGGGCAGGCCCCAAUCGUCUCCGAGGUCACCUAAUUCAUCUCUGUGGCAUUCUGCACCCGUCGGUGAUCUCUACGUAGCCGAAGGGCCCCUGUAGCCGUCGCUCGCAUCACUACCAAGCCGCCCGUGCCGUUCUUCUCCAAGUCCGGCGACCACCCAGACCCUGUUUCUGACCUUGCAGCGAACAGCUUCCCAGCAAGCACUGGGUGCCACGUGGCACAUCCACAGCAGCAGUGGUAGUUCUUCCCAGAACGCUGUUAUGAUUGUCCGGAGUGUGAGGCGGAUCGGAAUUAAUCGUUAGAGUACUUCAGCAUCGUUCUAGGCAAGUUUGCACUUUUGAUUAUGCCCAUCCUAUAUUUCUACUAUGCAUGGGUGGUUUUUAUGCUAGGACUUGUG
Triticum aestivum (bread wheat) is the source of this 690-nucleotide long non-coding RNA. RefSeq lists it as uncharacterized. The record is from RefSeq and is a predicted model, not a curated record. The transcript has 3 exons. Lineage: Eukaryota; Viridiplantae; Streptophyta; Magnoliopsida; Poales; Poaceae.